Molecule: long non-coding RNA, 1483 nt
Organism: Ficedula albicollis (Collared flycatcher)
Lineage: Eukaryota; Metazoa; Chordata; Aves; Passeriformes; Muscicapidae
Exons: 2
Source: RefSeq, a predicted model, not a curated record
CUGAAAAAAUAAACUUUAUUAUACAUACAGAAGCCCAUACCCCAGGAAGCUAUAGACAAACUAUUUGGUCACUGCAUUUGACAUAGAGAAAGUUCACACUGAUAAUCAUGGACAUUGCACAAGAGGAUAUAUAGUGCCAGUGCUCUGGACCUGCCAGAGAUCCAGCUGGUUUAGCUACCAGUGAAACCAAUCCAUCCUCAAGCAGGCUUUCUGCACUGGCUAGAGCAGCUUAGUUUACCAGCAAUAUCAAAAGAGCUACCUCUUUCCCAUGGGAAAAAUGUGACUCUUAAUGCUGUAGUGAGAGGCAGAUAGAAUUCUCCUGGCCAGCACUCUGAAUGCAAUGACCACUCAGGAUCUGAGAGCGACUGGAACUUCCUUUGCAUUCGACAUUCUCCUUUUGGAAGAGGGCAGUCUCAAAUUCAGGAGGUUUUUAGAAAACAUAUGGAAAUACAUCCAUAUUUCCAUAUAUCUUAAAAGAUCCAAUCCAUUUGCAUAAAUUGAUUUGGGUCCAAACAUGCUCCAACACCAGCACCAGCUUUCGACACCAGAGAUACUAGGUUUCAGAACUGUGGCUCCUUCCUCAGCACAGGGGAGAGAGUUUAUUUCUGGAAUUUCUGCCUUUGCUUCAGGCCCACACAGCACAUUAUGGAUCCCUUCAACACAGCCUGAGCAGGUUUGGUCUCGUGACAAGUAUUUAGUGGAUGAAAAGGCAGGAGCUGGGCUGCUCUGAUUUCUAGAGGUAAGGCAGCACCUUCCACCAUGAGAGGUGCACAGAUGCUAUAAACAGGAGGGCUUUUAACUUUAGAGCUAAAAAGUUUCAUGUUCCCUAUUCCUUUUAAAUAACUAAAUUACAGGCAUUAUUUUACAGGCUUGUCAGGGCAGACAUAUGACUGCUUCUAAGUGGAAUGCUCAUCAGGGCCAGAUAUACUAAUUUUGGCCCCUCUUCAACAGGAGAUGCAACUGAGCAGGAAACGUGAUUUUAAGAUUCACAUUUCUUAAAGUGCCCAUAACUUCCUUAGGAUAUGCAUUUCAGACAGCUCUGAGCCAUGGAGCAAAUCUAAGGGAUGGAAGAAAGGGAAGACAAUUCUUUCACAGCCAGCUACAGCGUUCCCCCAGCCCCACUCAUGGAUUCAGCCUAAGAGGGAGAAGACCGUGCAGUUGUACAAGUGCUGAAGUACUGCAGCUACUCAAGAGUGUUUUUCUUUUUCCUACUGCAGCACAGUAUCUAUAAUGAGUGGUACUACUUCCAGGUACAGGACCAGAUGCUGUCCUUGAGGCCUGCAGCACAGAAAAUGAACCACUCAUGUAGAAACAGCGAGGGAAGGGCAGAUCUCCUGGAGCAGCUCCCCAGCCCCAGCACUGACUCAGAGCAGCAGCAGGUGCUGGCAGCAGCUGCUGCUGCAGGGCUGCUUUGGGAAAGGCUGCAGCUGGACAAGUGCUGCCCUCCUGCGAGGCCCUCGGCACGCACAGGGCUCUGGCUCCA